AUGGCAAUCGAGUCACUCCUGAAUGCGGAGAAGCAGUGUUGCCUGGCUGGCGAUGUGGCCAGCACUAGGAAGGACAUCGUCGAGCUCUCCUUCAAGGAUGGCGCCUGGAAGACGCUUAACUGCCAGAUCGUUGUCCUCUCUAAGAGGAGGAGGGCCAGCUCAAGUAGAGAAUGGCGUCACCGGGGAGGACGGCAGCGGCGUGCCCGUGUUCGCGGAGUACAACCUCGACGAGCUCCGCGCCUCCACCGACGGCUUCGCAACGGACCACAUCGUCUUCGAGCACUGCGAGAAGGAGCCUAA
RNAcentral lists this ribosomal RNA (300 nucleotides) under Triticum aestivum (bread wheat). Its description in RNAcentral is "partial small subunit ribosomal RNA". The record is from RNAcentral. Lineage: Eukaryota; Viridiplantae; Streptophyta; Magnoliopsida; Poales; Poaceae.